CCUACGGGAGGCAGCAGUGAGGAAUAUUGGUCAAUGGACGAGAGUCUGAACCAGCCAAGUAGCGUGAAGGAUGACUGCCCUAUGGGUUGUAAACUUCUUUUAUAUGGGAAUAAAAUGUUCCACGUGUGGGAUUUUGUAUGUACCAUAUGAAUAAGGAUCGGCUAACUCCGUGCCAGCAGCCGCGGUAAUACGGAGGAUCCGAGCGUUAUCCGGAUUUAUUGGGUUUAAAGGGAGCGUAGGUGGAUUUUUAAGUCAGUUGUGAAAGGUUGCGGCUCAACCGUAAAAUUGCAGUUGAAACUGGCAGUCUUGAGUACAGUAGAGGUGGGCGGAAUUCGUGGUGUAGCGGUGAAAUGCGUAGAUAUCACGAAGAACUCCGAUUGCGAAGGCAGCUCACUGGACUGCAACUGACACUGAGGCUCGAAAGUGUGGGUAUCAAACAGGAUUAGAUACCCGUGUAGUC
Molecule: ribosomal RNA, 460 nt
Filed under: uncultured bacterium
Lineage: Bacteria
Description: partial 16S ribosomal RNA
Rfam family: Bacterial small subunit ribosomal RNA
Source: RNAcentral